Molecule: ribosomal RNA, 253 nt
Filed under: uncultured bacterium
Lineage: Bacteria
Description: partial 16S ribosomal RNA
Rfam family: Bacterial small subunit ribosomal RNA
Source: RNAcentral
UACGUAGGGUGCAAGCGUUAAUCGGAAUUACUGGGCGUAAAGCGUGCGCAGGCGGUGAUGUAAGACAGGCGUGAAAUCCCCGGGCUCAACCUGGGAAUGGCGCUUGUGACUGCAUCGCUGGAGUGCGGCAGAGGGGGAUGGAAUUCCGCGUGUAGCAGUGAAAUGCGUAGAUAUGCGGAGGAACACCAAUGGCGAAGGCAAUCCCCUGGGCCUGCACUGACGCUCAUGCACGAAAGCGUGGGGAGCAAACAGG